CCCCCGGUCCGACGCGGCGGCCCGCCGUGAACCGGGUCAGGUCCGGAAGGAAGCAGCCCUAAGCGGUGAGGGUCGGGUGCCGUCGGGCAGCCGGGGGUUU
RNAcentral lists this signal recognition particle RNA (100 nucleotides) under Marinithermus hydrothermalis DSM 14884. RNAcentral's name for it is "Bacterial small signal recognition particle RNA". It matches the Rfam family "Bacterial small signal recognition particle RNA". Rfam says of the family: The signal recognition particle (SRP) is a universally conserved ribonucleoprotein involved in the co-translational targeting of proteins to membranes. Archaeal SRP consists of a 7S RNA and homologues of the eukaryotic SRP19 and SRP54 proteins. Lineage: Bacteria; Thermotogati; Deinococcota; Deinococci; Thermales; Thermaceae. The record is from Rfam by way of RNAcentral.